This 253-nucleotide ribosomal RNA is filed under the name uncultured bacterium. RNAcentral describes it as "partial 16S ribosomal RNA". It matches the Rfam family "Bacterial small subunit ribosomal RNA", at positions 524 to 776 of the family's 1533-position model. The record is from RNAcentral.
UACGGGGGGGGCAAGCGUUGUUCGGAAUUACUGGGCGUAAAGGGCUCGUAGGCGGCCAACUAAGUCGGAUGUGAAAUCCCCAGGCUUAACCUGGGAAUUGCAUCCGAUACUGGAUGGCUUGAAUCCGGGAGAGGGAUGCGGAAUUCCAGGUGUAGCGGUGAAAUGCGUAGAUAUCUGGAGGAACACUGGUGGCGAAGGCGGCAUCCUGGACCGGCAUUGACGCUGAGGAGCGAAAGCCAGGGGAGCAAACGGG